CUCUGAGCAGAGCUUUGCCUCACAGCCAGUAUCGUGACUGUCUCUGUGCUUAAGUCUUGCUUACAGGAAAUCUCAACAAUGGGGUCUUCAGGUCUCAAAAGCUUCUCAAGCAGAUCUCUAAACUUCUGGCUGCUUAGAGCUAUUUUCCUUAGCUCUGACUUGAAAAUUACAGGGUACAUCAUGCUACAACUACAAACAAGAUUAUUGCUAUGUACAAAUCAAGCUAGGAUUCAAAUUAAAAUACGAAAUUACUGUGGCUGUGCUAAACAGUAAACAGAGAUGGUCUUGGUGAAGAAUUUCUGCAGAAGACAGACAAAAUUGAAACAUCCCUUCACUAAAGUACAGUAAAUGGCUGCAUGGAUGAGAGAAGAAAAGAUUAAGCGGAAAAUACAGUCUUAACUCCCUACAGAAAUUAAAUCUUUCUAGAUCUUUUCUUCAUUCGUAAAUAAU
Molecule: long non-coding RNA, 450 nt
Filed under: Coturnix japonica (Japanese quail)
Lineage: Eukaryota; Metazoa; Chordata; Aves; Galliformes; Phasianidae
Description: lncRNA (ENSCJPG00005003766.1)
Source: RNAcentral